GCAACAGCUCAAAUUUGAAAUCUGGCCUUCAGGGUCCGAAUUGUAAUUUGCAGAGGAUGCUUUUGGCGCGGUGCCUUCCGAGUUCCCUGGAACGGGACGCCUUAGAGGGUGAGAGCCCCGUACGGUUGGACACCAAGCCUCUGUAAAGCUCCUUCGACGAGUCGAGUAGUUUGGGAAUGCUGCUCUAAAUGGGAGGUAAAUUUCUUCUAAAGCUAAAUACCGGCCAGAGACCGAUAGCGCACAAGUAGAGUGAUCGAAAGAUGAAAAGCACUUUGAAAAGAGGGUUAAAUAGCACGUGAAAUUGUUGAAAGGGAAGCGUUUACGGCCAGACCUUUUCCUAGCGGAUCAUCCGGUGUUCUCACUGGUGCACUUCGCUAGGUUUAGGCCAGCAUCGGCUUCUGUAGGGGGGAUAAAAGCAGUGGGAAAGUAGCUCCCUCGGGAGUGUUAUAGCCCUAAGCAUAAUACCUUUACGGGGGCCGAGGACCGCGCUUUUGCAAGGAUGCUGGCGUAAUGGUCGUCAACGACCCGUCUUGAAACACGGACCAAGGAGUCGAACAUUUGUGCGAGUGUUUGGGUGUUAAACCCUCACGCGUAAUGAAAGUGAACGGAGGUGAGAGCCCUUUAGGGUGCAUCAUCGACCGAUCCUGAUGUCUUCGGAUGGAUUUGAGUAAGAGCAUAACUGUUCGGACCCGAAAGAUGGUGAACUAUGCGUGGAUAGGGUGAAGCCAGAGGAAACUCUGGUGGAGGCUCGCAGCGGUUCUGACGUGCAAAUCGA
Molecule: ribosomal RNA, 775 nt
Filed under: Camillea broomeana
Lineage: Eukaryota; Fungi; Ascomycota; Sordariomycetes; Xylariales; Graphostromataceae
Description: partial large subunit ribosomal RNA
Rfam family: Eukaryotic large subunit ribosomal RNA
Source: RNAcentral